AUGGUUAUAGCUUAUAUAAAGCAAAACACUGAAGAUGUUUAUAAUCUGAUAUCAGAUAAUCAAU
Molecule: transfer RNA, 64 nt
Filed under: Meghimatium bilineatum
Lineage: Eukaryota; Metazoa; Mollusca; Gastropoda; Stylommatophora; Philomycidae
Description: tRNA-Phe
Source: RNAcentral